UCUAAUUCCCUCUUCCACGUUCCAAGUUUCACUCAAAGCCACGGUACCACCAAUUUCCCAGCCAUAUUCACUCUUCUCUCUCCUUUAUCACACAAUCUCCAAUUUUACAAUUUUUUUUACUACCAAUUUCCCAACCCUUCACUCUUUACUUCCUGCGUCGUCGACAUCCCACUGCUGUUGCGCCGUCGUCACUGGCGAGCAACCGAUUUCUUCUAUCAUUGCGCCGCUUUCAGCCACCGUUGGCCCUUCUGGUCACAUCCAAGGCAUCAAUUUCUGCUCGUUGUGCGGUUUUCGAUCACUGUCACCAAUAUCCCCAAAUUAAAAAACCCUUCUACGGGGAAGAGCAAUCAAUCGUACAAUCGUCAGUGUCACAUUUUUGAGCUUCCUUCAAUCCAAACUUCAUUGUGAGUUUUCUAUAUUGGUAAGUUGAUUGGAAUACGUUUGUAUUUGAUUUGUUUCAACAAAUUAAGUUUCUGAAAUUUUUCCAUAAUAUAUUUUGAUACAUGCAGAUCAUGGCUCCAAACACAAAAAAUCAUGGAAAUCGUGGAAGACAUCCAAGGCGUGCACAAAAUGAUAUCCUCGAUUGUUUCAAUCAAAGUUCUUGCAGUGAACUCUAUAGAUUUUUUUUAUACUUGUGAAAUUAUAGUAGAAGACACAACACUUUAUAUUGUUGGGUAUGUGUUCAAUUUACAUAUGUGGUAUGAGAUCAUUACAUACUUUGGAUCUCUUUAUGUUUAAUUUGUGUAUUUUUUGAAUGGGUUGUCUAGUUGUUUUUGUUGGAUGAUUUUUAAUAUGAAUUUCAUACUUAUGUUGCUGUCAA
This is a long non-coding RNA of Salvia miltiorrhiza (redroot sage), 820 nucleotides long. RefSeq lists it as uncharacterized. The record is from RefSeq and is a predicted model, not a curated record. The transcript is spliced from 2 exons. NCBI's taxonomy places the organism in Eukaryota, Viridiplantae, Streptophyta, Magnoliopsida, Lamiales, Lamiaceae.